This is an RNA transcript of Dermochelys coriacea (leatherback sea turtle), 4930 nucleotides long. It is a transcript of the gene named high mobility group 20A, with no coding region annotated. The transcript is spliced from 10 exons. Lineage: Eukaryota; Metazoa; Chordata; Testudines; Dermochelyidae. The record is from RefSeq and is a predicted model, not a curated record.
GGGGAACCCCCUCCAGGAAAGCCAUCUUGCGGCAGAGGUAUGGAGAACCUGAUGGCUGGCUCAUCUCUACCCCCACUGUUUGCAGAUGAUGAUGGCUCAAAGGAGAGCAGUGAUAUGCCCACAACUGGGUUAGCCCACUCUGAGGGGUCAUACGGUGGAGGAGCUUCGCAGUCUGUGAACAACCCAGACUUUGUGGAGGACUUGUCAGAAAUUCAGUUGCUGCAAAAUGAGUCUUCUAAUACAGCUGAAAGCAGCGAGCAGAGACUUGAAGAAGAGCAAAGAACUAAACGAGGAGGCUGGUCCAAAGGGAGAAAGAGGAAGAAACCCCUUAGGGACAGCAAUGCCCCAAAAUCCCCCCUCACAGGGUAUGUGCGAUUCAUGAAUGAACGUAGGGAGCAGCUUCGAGCGAAGAUGCCUGAAGUCCCUUUCCCAGAGAUCACCAGGAUGCUGGGCAAUGAGUGGAGUAAGCUGCCUCCUGAGGAGAAACGGCGCUACCUUGAUGAAGCAGAUAGAGAUAAGGAACGGUACAUGCGGGAACUGGAGCAGUACCAGAAGACAGAGGCCUACAAAGUCUUUAGCAGGAAAGCACAGGACAGGCAGAAAGGCAAAUCACACCGGCAAGAUGGAACACGACAGACUGCCCACGACCAUGAGAAAGAAGCAGACACAAAGGAGAGGUCUGUUUUUGAUAUCCCAAUCUUCACAGAAGAGUUCCUGAAUCACAGCAAAGCACGGGAAGCAGAGCUGCGCCAGCUGCGUAAAUCCAACAUGGAGUUUGAGGAGAGGAACGCUGCACUGCAGAAGCACGUGGAGAGUAUGCGCACUGCUGUGGAGAAGUUGGAGGUGGAUGUGAUCCAGGAGCGCAGCCGGAACACAGUGUUGCAGCAGCAUCUGGAGACUUUACGGCAAGCACUCACCAGCAGCUUUGCCGGAGUGCCACUACCAGGCAGUGGGGAGACCCCCACAAUGGACACCAUUGACUCAUACAUGAACAGACUGCACAGUAUUAUUCUGGCUAACCCACAGGAGAAUGAGAAUCUCAUAGCCACGGUCCGAGAGGUUGUAAACCGGCUUGAUCGCUAGUGACUUGGGUAAGCACCCCCUUGCUCAGACUGGUUUGCUUACCAGCACCUACACCACAUCCACUGCACCAAGCCUGGAAAUAAAUGAGGGGAAAUUUUCAAAGGCACAAAGAGCAGUGAGAUGCUCAACCAUUUUCAAUGGAAGUUGGGUGUUUUUACUCCCAUUUAUGGCUUUGAAAGUCUCCUCCCUGAUUUCUAAGGGAGACUUAAGUGCUUGGUAUGUCGCAAGAUUGUUCGACAUCUUGGUUGAUGUAUCAGAUGAAUAAGACUGUCAAAGUCUGGAGUAGAACAGAGAAGGAGGAACAUUCCUUUGCAUGCAUGAUGUACUGACUAAAGAUACUGUGGUAGAUGAUAAUGGUGAGGAAGAUUUCUCUGUAGAGCAUGAUGAAUCUGAAGAAUUCUGUAGUCUCCUGGCCCAGGGGUGUCUUACAAAAGUGAUUCAGCCAGUGAGGAAUGAAAAGCCAUGAUGGAAACAGACAGGAGGUGGGAGGCAAGACUUCAGGAUCUGUCCUGGUCCCUGCCUAAGCAGCUUGCCUAUGGGGCAAACUAUUUAAUGAAUUAAAAGCUGCUAUGAAGCCACAGGCACCAGCCACUAAACAUUUGAACUAUCCUCCAUGUAAAGCUUUCAGAGCAUGUUACUACCAUACAAUCAUCAGUUUUCCAUGUUUCAGCUGGGUGGGGGGGAUACCCACACACUCUGUGGACUGGACAAGAAUGAAGGUGAAUGUACUUCCAAUCUGUGUAGUGGAGGCAGCCUUUGUGUUGUGGUAAUAGAGCUUUGAAAUGUUAUGUUGCUUUGUAUCUCUUCAUCCUUUCUGUAGGGUUUCCUUCUCCCCUUCCAGUUCUCCUUUUGUCCUUUUCCUGUUAGCUGAUGUUCACUGCACUGUAUAGCAACACCUGGAUUCUUUGCUAUGACAGACACAGCCUUCCUUACUGCACCAUCCUGCCCCGCCUGUCGUGUCUUCAAUGCAAGCUUCUCUUUUAUGUGCUAGGCUGCAUCUCGUACAACAUGAGGUUCCUUCCUGCUGGUAUUGGCUGUGGCUGGCGCUUCAUCACUGAGCUACCCUGAAGGAAGGGCUCUCUCUUUUCCCCCUCCCAGCUACUCUUUCCAAGCAUCUCUGCUGCAAGUACACAGUGUCCUGCUUCUCAGCAAGACUCCGCUGUUCCUAUCUAUUGAAAAUGGCUGGUGCAGCAUUUUACUGCUGAAAAGGUCAGCAGUAAUCAAGAGAGAAAGUGAAAAGCUGGCUUCUCUCAGCCAGCAGGAAAAGUGCAAAACUAUAUUUUAGACUAAAAUAAAACACGUCGCUUUUCUGUCCUCUGAUAUGUUGCUUUGUCUAAUAUGAUGUGAGUUGCAGCCUGCUUGAGCGAAUGAUAUUCUGUUCCAAGUCAUCUCUCCACCACAAAGGGGAAUGGGCAGGGGAAUUCCAUUUCCCUCUAUCCAUCUGCUGUUGUAGCACUAAGGAACCAUUUUUAUAAAAGGGGCCUGCAAUGAAGUGUAACAGCAGAGAGCAGCUUUAGCAAAGGUGAGCAAACUGUGGUGCACAGAAUUCCAUAGUGCAGCUCACAGCUACCCUCACCUUUAAUACAAAAGUGCAUCUUCUGGAGACUACCGCUUCCUGCAUGGGAUGUUCCUGCUUGAUUUGAGUGGCCUUUUACUCAUGGCAAUUGUCUUUUUGCGUGCUGAGAUCUGUAGUUUCUCUGAGUUACACCUCACCUGCUUGUCAGAGAUGAAGACAUCUACUGUCUGCACUGUCUUAUGCAAAUUAUUUGUAGCCCUUGGGGUCCUGUCAAAUUAUUAGUUCAGGCUUUAGUUGAGAACUUCUUGAAUACCCUUGGGCUUUAUUAUGAUGGUUCAACCAUGCUGUCUGUUCUACAUGCCACCUUCCUACUCUUCCUUCAGAAAAUCUUGGGACUUUUCCUGUCAUGAACUGGGAAUGCUUUUAUUACCUUGCCAUGCUGAUGCAAGCAAGAACAGUUUCAUGAAUCUGCAAUAUAAGCAUCUGCCUAACUUUAUAUUUGAAGAUUAAAAAGUAGUUCUUCCUUUUCCACUCUUUAGUGCACGCUGCACAGAUUUCACACUUGCUUGAAGCCACCUCCAAGUCAAAGCCUUCUGUGAUGGGCUCACUCACCCCUUGCCUUGCAGCUGCUACCUUCACUGCUGCCAAACAGCAAGGAUUUGUGUGUAAGCUCGAGUCUUCCUUCACGGAGGGACUCAUUUUUGUCUUCUCUCUCAUCAUUUUUCAAGACUUCAUUCACAAGAGCUGCAACUUGGGGCACUGACUUUCUUUUUCCUUAGCAUAGGCAAGACCUAAGUUCCCUGUAAGCUUCGCAGCCUCAAAGCAUCCUAUUUAGUGCUGCGCAGGCACUUGGAGAACCGUCCUGGAGACCUGCCGCAGCCGGGGCGGCCCAGACCCAGCUGCAGCCAGAUCGGGCCCAGGCGUGGCCGUAGCAGUACAGCUUGGCCCGGACCCAGGAGCAACCUGGACCUGCUGGGGCCGGGGAGGGGCACCUAUCCUGCAGCCUCAGCCCCAGAGUUGCCACAGCAGGGAGAGGUACCUCUCCCCCUCAGCCCAGGUGCUGCUGCAGGGAGAGAGAGCUGGGAGGAGUCCUCUCUCCCCGCUGUAGCUCUGGAGCACCCUCCUGCACCCUAAACCAAUCAUCCCCCGCCCCACCCCAGAGCCCGCACCCCCAGCCAGAGCCCCCACAUGCCUGCACCCCAACCCUAUGCCCUAGCCCUGAGCUGCCUCCCAUAUGCCGAACCCCUUAGUCCCACCCCCACCACAUGAAUUUUGUUACAUGCACCAAUAUGAAAGUGAUGUGUGUCACAUCACCUCCAUAUUGGUGCACGUAACAAAAUUCAUUCCGCACAUGGGUGGGAAAAUUAGAGGGAACACUGGGCAAGACCAGCUGAUGUUAGCAUGAACUAGUUCUGAGUUCUGUAGUGAAGAAGGGGUUGUGGAAGGACAUCCUGUAGAUAAAUAGUAUCUCGGGAAAAAGCACUUCCGUCUCACACUAUUUAGUAACAGUGGCAAUUGACUGCUGUAUUGAAGUGGGAGUAGCCUAAGUGCAGUCCACAGCCAAAACCUGGGCCCACAGAGUUCUAACAAAUCAGUCAGUGGUAACUCUUAUCUUUAAUACAGAGAUACACUCCAUGGAGACUCAAGGUCUCAGCAUGUGAUGCGAGGGCUUGAUCCACUUUGGGUCCAUAUUUAAGGUGUGGAUAGCUGCAAGCUGCCCUGUCUUACACAAAUCAGAUGUAGCCAUCAGCUCCUGGCACAUUGCCAGUCUAUCUCUGUGUUGGGCAAAGCAUGCCUGUUCUUGGAUGGGAGAACCAAGCGGGUACUUACUGUUAGCUGAAUGCUGACUGACAAAUCUUUCCCUUUUCCCCAACAUAGAGGAAGAGAGAUGUGAUGACAUGGCCAAUUUUGAAGCAGCUGGGAUGGGGGGGUAUGGUUUGAGUUCUUGCUCUCCAACAAUAUUAUAGAUGAUGUUUUGUCUCAUUAAGAAGCUUCAAAUCUGCACUGAUUUACCCAAUGAAAAAUGAAUUUUGUCUUUUCAGUGUUUUUCAUGAGUGUCACUUCAGUUUACAUUUUUCAGUGUGUUGGCUGACAAAAAAAAAUUAAGUGGGUGGUGAGGGGAGGAGGAGGGUCAGACAUUUUCUUUGCUCUGAGAAAUGUUAACAAAAACAUAUUAAAAUGGAGUCCAUUUUCUGGAUUAAUGUGUUUGGAAUUGUUGAAAUGCCAAGUUUUCUGUACAAGUGUUUUGCAAUUAAACUUUUAGACUUUAUUUGUUUAAGAAGAUGAUAUGCUUGCUUGACAUUUGCUUCAUUAAAACUGUUCAACAUUGAA